AUUGAACGCUGGCGGCAUGCUUUACACGUGCAAGUCGAACGGUAACAGGCCGCAAGGUGCUGACGAGUGGCGAACGGGUGAGUAAUGCAUCGGAACGUGCCCAGUCGUGGGGGAUAACUACUCGAAAGAGUAGCUAAUACCGCAUACGAUCUAUGGAUGAAAGCGGGGGACCGUAAGGCCUCGCGCGAUUGGAGCGGCCGAUGUCAGAUUAGGUAGUUGGUGGGGUAAAGGCUCACCAAGCCAACGAUCUGUAGCUGGUCUGAGAGGACGACCAGCCACACUGGGACUGAGACACGGCCCAGACUCCUACGGGAGGCAGCAGUGGGGAAUUUUGGACAAUGGGCGCAAGCCUGAUCCAGCAAUGCCGCGUGCAGGAAGAAGGCCUUCGGGUUGUAAACUGCUUUUGUACGGAACGAAACGGCUCUGGUUAAUACCCGGGGCUAAUGACGGUACCGUAAGAAUAAGCACCGGCUAACUACGUG
RNAcentral lists this ribosomal RNA (482 nucleotides) under uncultured bacterium. RNAcentral's name for it is "partial 16S ribosomal RNA". It matches the Rfam family "Bacterial small subunit ribosomal RNA", at positions 30 to 507 of the family's 1533-position model. The record is from RNAcentral.